This 348-nucleotide long non-coding RNA is filed under the name Physcomitrium patens. Its description in RNAcentral is "long non-coding RNA (PPAT_LNC011167)". Lineage: Eukaryota; Viridiplantae; Streptophyta; Bryopsida; Funariales; Funariaceae. The record is from RNAcentral.
UUGGGCUAUGUAACAAAAAGCUUAUAAUAUCAUAAAUAUUUGUAGCUAUUUUAGAUGUUGGAUUGUAGACUAUAAUACCAAAUAUUUGUUUUAAUAUGGAUGUAGUGAAAUUUAUUGCUAAAUUAUGUAAGAUAGGAUCUAGGUUGCUAGAAGGUCCUUCAUUCAUUGCUUGUUUUUUGUAAUUGAUCAAUUAAGUAAGUUAAAGGCUAUAGUUAAAUGACUUAGUAGUAUUAUUGGGUUUAUUUUCACUAAAGUAUCUAUCAGAUGUAAAAGAUUGAUAUUGAUCAAAACUUAAUCUUAGAUUUGAACUAGCAUUUUGAAAGGAUAUGGAUAUUUAUUUACUAUCUU